AAGGCGCAACCAUGGUCAGAAAGGAAAGGGCUAUUAUCAUCCCUAGACUCAUGUGCCCUUCUCAGAGUGCGGAAACAACACCGAGAGUUUUUCACAUUUUCCGUUAAAAGAACAGCGAGAUGCACAUAUCUGCAGCGACCUGACAUUGUUGGCAGUGUUGUACUUUGAUAGAGUGGUGUUGUAUGUGUUUUUUUUUCUGUCGGGUCGUCGGUAUUCUGCUUCCCCUUAGUCGUCGUUAAACAUGUACAUAUGGAAGCGCCGAGUCAUUCUGUAUUAUUCGUUCAGAUUGCUUUAGUGUGAGCCAGUUUGCUGCCCACUGGAUGUCUCUACGUCCAUUCCUUCAGCAUUCUUCUAGCGCACCGAGAAAAAGAAAGGCGGUAGUACCCCAAAACAAAAGAGACGGAAUCUCAAUUUGAGAAUCCAAAAUUUAUGCGAAGGCCAGAUCACGUUAGCGGUUAGUAAAAGCGCUUCCAAGGGAUGCUAGGAAAUACUUUCUUUAAAAAACUUUGCAUGGAUUGUUUCAACUCAACUUCCUGAAGUUUAACAAAGUUUAUCCAAAAAAUGUAAACAUUCACAAUAACAAAUCUGUACCGUUAGAUACAUAAUGGAAUAUAUUUUCAUAUUAUAUUUAAUAAUAAAUUUGAUCAAACCCUAUAAAUUCGACUUGAGGCAAACGGAGGGAGUAAAACCCCAGCCAUUUUUAUAGCUACAAGCUGCAUCAGCAACUACACCAUAUUCAAAGUAGUAUUAACACUUUCCACUGGACGUCUUUAUUCUCUCCGUUCAGCACGCGGCCCCGGCGGAGCACCUCAGAGCACCGGCGUCCUUGGUCAGCGAUCUCACCUCGUCGGCGCUCGCCGCCGGGAACGUCUGAUGCCUGUUGUAAUUCGGGCGCACCCUGCUGCCGGUCUGCUUGAAGACGGCGCCGUUCUCAAACGAGUCCCCACUGGAGUGCCAAUGCCAGUCCUUCCCAGCGGCAUGUCCGACCGGCAUCCUUCUCGUCACCUGCAGAAAAUAUACCAAGAUCACAUGGCGAGCUCUGGCAAUUCAAACGCCACAGUUCUCAAAAUCGUCGUUAAAAAAAAUCAGGUACCAACAUUGGCACUGUUCGCCGUGGAGGCGAUGAACAGAUUGCCCUGGCUCUUGACAGUGGGCCCCAUGCUCCCUCCAAUGGCGUACUCCCUCCACCCGUCGACCGUCGUAGAAGUUGUUGACGACGUGGGCGUAGCCGUGCCUGAUCCUCGGCAUGCGCUGGUUCACGUUGGGGCCGAAGCGGUUGAACGCCACGGUGACCCGCAUCCGGCGGUCGGCGACGUGCUGGUCGUCGUGGCCCAGCAGCAUCACCUUGUCGUGGUCGUGGAACCAGUUGUUGGAGACGGUCACGUCCGUGGACCCGAGCGUCACGUCCAGGAGGCCGUCCUCGCAGCGCGCCAGCGUGUUGUGGUCGAUCCACACCUUGGAGCUGGACAGCAGCCGGAUGGCGUCGCCGUCGCCGGCGUCCAUGGUCUGCACGGCGCCGCCGGGCCGGACGACACGCCCGGGGGCCUGCGCGCGGACGCCGUGCACGUGGAGCCCGUGGAUGACCACGUUGCUCACCUCGUAGAGCACGAUGCCGGCGCCCCCCGCGACGUGCACAUCGGCGCCCCGCCCGUCGAUCGCCGUGAAGCUCUUGACGAAGAGCGGCUGCGCCAGCCUGAUGUGCAUGGUGCCCGGCCGGAAGGUGAUCCAGACCUUCCCCGGCAGCACCGUCGCGCCGUACCGCAGCGUGCCGGGCUUGGGCUGCACGGGGUCGUCGCCCGGGUCGGUGACUGUGUACACGGUCACUCCGUGGCCGCUGUUCUGCCGCAUCUUCCCGGCGAAGCCGACGGAGCACAUGGCGAGCCGCUGCCGGUCAGUGGCCCAGUUAGGCUGGCCGCGCCAGCACCGGUCGAUGACGUUCUCGUGCCGGUGGUUCGCGGUGGCGGCUCGGAGGAGAAGGAAGAGGAGGGUGACGGACAUGAGUAAUUCUUUGAGUGCCAUGCUUAGACGUGUUUGUCUAUUGACACUAAUGAGCUUCUUUCAAACCAUUUUAAAGGAAGGUGGCGGUUUUUGGGAGCAACAAACGAACGUUUUGUUGAGUCUUGUUAAUGUGGUCAAUUAAUAGAUUGCAAAUGUUUCAUUUGUUUGCUUUUAAGCCAAAAGGAACUGCUAUUGUUUAAUGGAACCGAUAUCCAGUGCUUCAACGGAUGGAAGCCGUUGAUAAAUCCAUGAAUCUCGGUGAGAUCAUAGUGAAGUGCGCCCGCAUGUGUGGAAUAUGAGUUCUGAGAACAAAACACCAUCGAUACUCCAUAUCGAUAUGGCCACCAAGUUGUCCGAGCCAGUAGCGUUGUCGGACGGCCGACACGUAGCGACGAGUUUUUUCUUCUCUGGAAAAGGGGAAGGCCUCCGCCUCUGCGUCAUUCUGAUGCACACAACAGGUGAAAGAAAGCGGCGCAACAAAAGCGAAACAUUCUCUGAAGAAUCGAAAUAAAGAGGGGGAGUGGCGGCCACUUUAGUUUCCCACCGUGAAUUCGAGGAAUCACAGCUGGUGUCAAUCGAAGAGAUCGUUCCCCUUUCGUCUCCUCGUGAUCAGAAUAAUAUUGGUAACCGGCGAUCGCAAUGGUCAGCGAAUCCAGUUCUGCCCGCCCUCUUCUAGCUCGAUCCCGGGCCGGGCGUCUUGAGCCGUUAGCAGCGCCGUGUCUGGGUGUCCUCUCCUCACUCGUGAACGGCGCUGUCUCUGAGCAUCGUGGUGUACUCCAUUUGACAUCCUCUGCAUCAGUCUUCUGUAUUAUAAAUAGGUAGAUACGCCUCUGCUUCCUGUCAGACUACCAAGCUGAUCGCCAGCAGCACUGCAGCAGGCGCUCCCCUGUUCCGGCGUCGCCGUCUAAAGCUCUCUAUCUUCAAGGCGCUUCUGGGCUUUCUUUGGACAGCGGAACAUGGUAAGCUUGUAUGUUUCUGCAUGUUUGCCUCCCUAUUUUGUCUGCCAAGAGGAGUUGCACUUGUGUUUGGUUGGAAAGACAAAACUGCCAAGUAGUAGUCAGUAGCAUGCUUGUGUUCUUCAGGGAUGUCGAUUCAGAAUACCGCGCGUAGCAUUAAUCUUGCACUUGUUGAUGACCGAAAUUGGCAUGUUAACUAGGUAGCAUUCCAUCGCGUCAUCAAGAUUUGAACAGUUUCCUUGGUUCUAGUUCAUGACAUCAAAUUCACUUCAUGAGUAGGAGUGUGAACUAGUAUCUGCAAGAUUUUUUUUUCUGAACAUCAUAAAUUUCUAGGUAGAAUAGAACUGUUUGAGAAUUGUUUUGUGUGCUUUGGACAAUAGAACUCUUUCAGAAUUGUUUUGUGUGUUUUGGACAAGCUCGUUCUUACUUUUGGUGUUCCACAGAGCCUUGCAAGCUUAAGCGGGAAUGACCCAAAUCCUUCCAGCGCUCCGUCGGCGCUCCGAAGCAUAACGAGGUCCGUCGACAGAAACGGCCAUAGGUACGCGGAUGGCAAUGCUGGGUAUGAAAUGGUUCUUGCAAAGGAUCAGAAUCCUAAUCCAUCACGCAUUGCAACCCUCUCAAACAAGGUAAUCCAUCCAGGCAAACGGCCAUUGCGAUCUCCAGUACUGUAUAAGUGAUAUCUGCAGUCAAGUUACUUAACAUCCAUUUCUUGAAUAUCUUUGCUCCACAGAUGGUGUCAUUUCCUAGCUUCAUCUCGGACAACGGGACCAUGACCAUAAGCACUCCGGUGAGGUUCGGCCCGUGGGGCGGCACCGGCGGCACCAUAUUCGACGACGGCAUAUUCACCGGCGUCCGGCAGAUCAACAUAACGAGGGGGCUGGGGAUAUCCUCCAUGAAGGUCCUCUACGACCGCAACGGGCAGGCCAUCUGGGGCGACAAGCGCGGCUCCAGCGGGGCCGCGAGGCCGGAGAAGGUAACACCAUUUCAGAUUUCAGAGCUUCAGUUUCAGAGCAUGGAUGAGUUUCAGACUUUUGUGAAACGGGAAUUUCAUUUGGGCAGAUCAUAUUCGACUUCCCGACGGAGAUCCUGACGCACGUCACCGGGUACUUCGGGCCGACGAUGAUCAUGGGCCCGACGGCGAUCAAGUCCAUCACCUUCCACACGACCAAGAAGAGCCACGGGCCGUUCGGGGACGAGACCGGCACCUUCUUCUCCAGCUGCCUGACGGAAGGGAGGAUCGUGGGGUUCCACGGCAGGGGCGCGUGGUACGUGGACAGCAUCGGGGUUCACGUCCUGGAAGGCAAGGUGCUGUCGGAGAAAUCCGCCGGCACGACCCCGUUGGGCGACAUGCUUGCACUGCCGAUGAGGGAGAUCGGGGACGAGGUAAAGUCACAUCAAUUUCUCGACUGAACAAUAAUGGUACCGAGGCAAGAAUGUGUCUGAGAUUGUGGAGGGUUCAUGUUGCAGGUUACGUACGGCGUGGUGAAAGAACCGAUACCGAUAGGGCCCGGGCCGUGGGGAGGGGAGGGGGGCAAGCCGUGGGACGACGGCGUCUACACGGGCAUCAAGCAGAUCUACGUAACCAGAGACGACUUCAUCGGGUCCAUACAGAUCGAGUAUGACCGGAGCGGGCAGUCCGUCUGGUCUACCAGGCACGGCAACGGCGGCCAGAUCACACACAGGGUGAGCAGAGCACAGCAGACCGGAGCCGACUCGAGCAAUUAGCCAUCUCUUUUGCAGAUUACGCUUUGCUAAUCAUCAUUCAUUUGACCGAAUGCAUGUGCAGAUCAAGCUGGACUAUCCACACGAGGUGCUGAACUGCAUAUACGGCUACUACAACACCUGCGUGGGGGAAGGGCCCAGGGUGCUGAGGUCCAUCACCGUCGUGAGCAGCCGGGGCAAGUACGGGCCGUUCGGCGACGAGGUCGGGACCUACUUCACCUCCGCCACGACGACGGGGAAGGUGGUCGGCUUCCACGGCCGGAGCGCCAUGUACCUGGACGCCAUCGGGGUGCACAUGCAGCACUGGCUGGGGGACAGGAACACCGCCACCGCCGCCAAACCUAAGGCCAGCUCCGUUCCCAAGAUCGCCGGCCCCAACCCCAAGACCGGCUCGGAUAACCCCAGGGCUGGCUCUACCACCAAGUACUACGUCUCCAAGUAUCUCUUUUGAUUUCGCUUCGCCUACCAUUUCAGUUUGCAGGAGAGUGCUUUUGCGGGGUUUUUUCUACCGGGGAAUCGUGGCGUGAAUGUGUGGUCUUUGUUACUGUAGUAUCUUGUAUCGAAGGCAGAGCUAUACAUCCGGUUGGGGUGUGUUACGGCAACCGGGGAUCAGAGUAUCAGAAUUCAGAGGACUAGUUAAAAGGAACAUCUCAUACUGUUUCAAACGAGCAUCAAGAUCAGAUGACAUGAUCAUGACAUAUGUAACCCGCAAACCUUCUCUUGCACUCCUGGGGGAUAAGUAGUGCAGUGACAUGAUCUUCCAUCCUUUGUCACAUAGUACAUUUCAAACAAUUGCAUAGUACUCUCUCCGUAAAGAAAUAUAAGAGCGUUUAUAUCACUACUCUAGUGAUCUGAACGCUUUUAUAUUUUUAUAAAAGAAUCAUAAACUCCAUGACACUAACAUCCCAAGUUGGCAUUUAAGAAGAAAUGAGAGCCACGGCUCAUCAAGCUUCGAACCCAGACGGGCGACGCGUGGACACACACUCUUAGCCACUCGAGCUUUGCUCUGUUCUCAUGGCAUUUCAACAAUCAUUUGAAUGAUUCAAAUGCAUCAUAUGCAACAUUUCGAUUACAAAUACACAUAUAGUUCAUUGAAUCGAACAAUUUAAAUUAAAACAUGCAUAUACUUCAUCAAGCCACCAAAUUGAUCAAGUUUACACACACACACACACACACCAUAACAUGUCUUAUUUUCUGACCUUCACAAAUGAUUUGAGCAGAUAUGGGUAUAUCUACUUAAUGAAAUACAAGUCUGAAACAUUUGAAAAGUCCAAACAAUUUCAGAGUGAAGUGGAGAAUAAUCGUAACAAGAAAAUAAAGUUUCUACGAUCCGACCAUGAAGGCGAAUAUUUGAGUUACGAGUUUGGCCUUCAUUUAAAACAAUGUCAAAUCAUUUCACAACUCACGUCACCUGGAACACCACAACGUAAUGGUGUGUCCAAACAUCGUAAUUGUACUUUAUUAGAUAUGGUGUGAUCUAUGAUGUCUCUUACCGAUUUACCACUAUCGUUUUGAGGCACCAUCUAAGUCCGUUGAGACGACACUGUAUGAACUAUUGUUUGGCAAGGAACUUAAGCUGUCGUUUCUUAAAGUUUGGGGUUGCGACACUUAUGUCAAAAGGCUUCAGCCUGAUAAGCUCGUCUUCAUAGGAUACCCUAAGGAAACAAUUGGAUACACCUUCUACCACAGAUCCGAAGGCAAGAUCUUUAUUGCCAAGAAUGGAACAUUUCUAGAGAAGGAGUUUCUCUCAAAAGAAGUGAGUGGGAGGAAAAUAGAAGUCGAUGAGGUAAUUGUACCUUCUCUCAAUUUGGAAAGUAGCACAUCAGAGAAAUCCGCUCCCGUGAUGUCUACACCAACUAGAGAGGAAGCUAAUGAUGAUGAUCAUGAAACUUUUGAUCAAGUUACUACUGGACCUAGUAGGUUAAACAGAGCAUGUUCCACACCAGAGUGGUACGGUAAUCCUGUCCUAAAAGUCAUGUUACUAGACCAUGACGAACCUACAAACUAUGAAGAAGCUAUGAUGAGCCCAGAUUCUGAUAAAUGGCUUGAGGCCAUGAAAUCGGAGAUAGGAUCCAUGUAUGAGAACAAAGUGUGGACUUUGGUGGACUUGCCCGAUGCUCAGCAGGAUCUUCAAGAAGAAGACAAAUGCUGAUGGUAAUAUCACUAUCUACAAAGCUCGACUUGUCGCGAAAAGUUUUCGACAAGUUCAAGGGGUUGACUACGAUGAGACCUUCUCAUCCAUAGCGAUGCUUAAGUCAGUCCGAAUCAUGUUAGCAAUUGCCGCAUUUUAUAAUUAUGAAAUUUGGCAAAUGGAUGUCAAAAACUUCAUUCCUUAAGGGAUAUUAAAGAAGAGUUGUAUAUGAUGCAACUAGAAGUUUUUGUCGAUCCUAAAGGUACUAACAAAGUGUGCAAGCUCCAGUGAUCCAUCUGUGGACUGGUGCAAGCAUCUCGAAGUUGGAAUAUACGCUUUGAUGAGGUGAUCAAAGCAUAUGAUUUUAUACAGACUUAUGGUGAAGCCUAUUUUUAUAAGAAAGUGAGCGAGAGCUCUGUAGCAUUUCUGAUAUUAUAUGUGGAUGACAUAUUGCUGAUUGGAAAUGAUAUAGAAUUUCUAGAUAGCAUAAACGGAUACUUGAAUAAGAAUUUUUCAAUGAAAGACCUCGGUGAAGUUGCUUACAUAUUAGGCAUCAAGAUAUAUAGAGAUAGAUCAAGACGCUUGAUAAGAUUUUUCAAUGAGUACAUACCUUGACAAGAUUUUGAAGGAGUUCAAAAUGGAUCAGUCAAAGAAGGAGUUCUUGCCUAUAUUGUAAGGUGUGAAGUUGAGUAAGAGUCAAAACCUGACCACAGCAGAAGAUAGAGAGAGAAUGAAAGUCAUUUCCUAUGCCUCAGCCAUAGGUUCUAUAAAGUAUGCUAUACUGUGUACCAAACCUAUUAUGUACAUUGGCAUGAGUUUGGCAAGGGGGUACAAUAGUGAUCCAAGAGUAGAUCAAUGGAAAACGGUCAAAAUUAUCCUUAGGUACCUUAAAGAGGACUAAGGAAAUGUUUCUCGGUUAUGGAGGUAAUAAAGAGUUCGUCGUAAAGGGUUACGUCGAUGCAAGCUUUAAAACCAAUGCAGAUGACUCUGAAUUUCAAUCUGGAUACAUAUUGAAAGUGGGAGCAAUUAGCUAGAGUAGCUUCAUGCAGAGCAUUGUAGACAUAGAGAUUUGCAAAAUACAUACGGAUUUGAAUGUGAUAAACCCGCUGACUAAACCUCUCUCACAAGCAAAAACAUGAUAACACCUUAAUACUCUUUGGGUGUUAACCACAUAGCGAUGUGAACUAGAUUAUUGACUCUAGUAAACUCUUUGGGUGUUGGUCACAUGGAGAUGUGAACUAUGGGUGUUAAUCACAUGGCAAUGUAAACUAGAUUAUUGACUUUAGUGCAAGUGGGAGACUGAAGGAAAUAUGCCCUAGAGGCAAUAGUAAAGUUGUUAUUUUAUAUUUCCUUAUUCAUGAUAAAGGUUUAUUAUUCAUGCUAGAAUUGUAUUGAUCGGAAACCUAAAUACAUGUGUGAAUACAUAAAUAAAUACCAUGUCCCUAGUAAGCCUCUACUAGACUAGCUCGUUGAUCAAAGAUGGUUAAGGUUUCCUAACCAUGGACAUGAGUUGUCAUUUGAUAACGGGAUCACAUCAUUGGGAGAAUGAUGUGAUGGAAAAGACCCAUCCGUUAGCUUAGCAUAAUGAUCGUUCAGUUUUAUUGCUAUUGCUUUCUUCAUGUCAAAUACAUAUUCCUUCGACUAUGAGAUUAUACAACUCCCGGAUACUGGAGGAAUGCCUUGUGUGCUAUCAACGUCACAACGUAACUGGGUGAUUAUAAAGAUUCUCUACAGGUAUCUCCGAAGGUGUUUGUUGAGUUGGCAUAGCUCGAGAUUAGGAUUUUUCACUCAGAGUAUCGGAGAGGUAUCUCUGGGUCCUCUCGGUAAUACACAUCAUAACCUUGCAAGCAAACGACUAAGGAGUUAGUCGCGAGGUGAUGCAUUACGGAACGAGUGAAGAGACUUGCCGGUAACAAGAUUGAACUAGGUGUGAAGAUAUCGAUGAUCGAAUCUCGGGCAAGUAACAUACCGAUGGACAAAGGGAAUUACAUAUGUUGUCAUAACGGUUCGACCGAUAAAGAUCUUCCUAGAAUAUGUAGGAGCCAAUAUGAGCAUCCAGGUUCCGCUAUUGGUUAUUGACCGGAGAGGUGUCCCGGUCAUGUCUACAUAGUUCUCGAACCUGUAGGGUCCGCACGCUUAACGUUCGAUGACGAUAUAGUAUUAUAUGAGUUACGUAAUUUGGUGACCGAAUGUUGUUUGGAGUCCCGGAUGAGAUCAUGAAAAUGGCGAGGAGUAUCGAAAUGGUCGAGAGGUAAAGAUUGAUAUGUAGGACGAUGCUAUUCCGACAUCGGAAGUGUUUCGAGGGGUACCGGGUACUUAUCGGGUCACCGGAAGGAGUUCCGGGCACCCCCGACAAAAGAUAUCGGCCUUAGGGCCAGGAGGAGAAACGCACCAGCCACAAGGGGCUGGUGCACCCCCAUAUGGGCCGGCCUGAGGAGGAGAAGGAAAGGGGAGAAGGGAAAGGUAAGUGUGGAUUGGGAUUCCCACUUCCUUCCCUCUCCCCCAUCUUUCCUUCCCCCUCCGACAAACAUGGCAGGGGGGCGCGACCAAGGGCAGGAGCCCAAGUAGGAUUCAGACCUACUUGGGGCGUCCCUUGGCCUCUCCCCUCUCCCUCCCACCUAUAUAUAUAUAGUAUGUUUAUAUAGGAUCCUAGGAUCAGAAUAGUUAUUCUGGUAACUUCUCGUCUAUAUAGGAUCGAUCGCAUGUUUCCGAACUCUAGAGCCCGUGAAAAAAAGACACAUCCCCACGAACAAUUCCAGCCACCACCCACAAUUCCCCACCACCCCGAUCUGGCGCGCCUCCACCCACCUCCGUCGGCCACCAGCGUGACGCCCACCCCAAGCCACCGGCGCCACGCCUCCACCCACCGCCGCUGGCCGCAGUGCCCCGCAGCCCCCACUGCCGCCUGCCGUUGGCGGGGCCUCCUCCAAUCCCCACGCGGCGCGUCCUCCCGAGCUACUUGAUGCGCCAUUGUGGUCCGCCUCAACCUCCCAUCGGCCUCCUCCCGCGAAGCUGCCGCCGACCUCUCAAUCGCGCGUGCCCGCCGCAUCCACCGAAUCGAGCGUCGUCGCCCGCCCCGACCAUGCAUGCCGCCCCCUCAAGGACCGGAUUACAGGCCCAUGUCUCCGGCGAAGCCGUCAUUCAGGGGUCCGACAUCGAUGGCAGGGGUCAGAUGCCUUGGUCUCGUGACCUCCGGUCGCCGUAUCCCUCCUGCAUGCGUCCCUCACCUACGCAUCUCCAUCUCACCAUGGACAGCUUCCUCGUCAGGCUUGAACUUCUUCUCCAGCCUCCGCCCUGCUACUCUAGCUGUCCUCGUUGAAGUCCCCCGACUGCCGUGUGCUUCUCCCCUGCCUCUUGUCACCUCCGGCUCCCCAACCUCCUGGCUCAGGUACCACACAAUAUGCUAGAUGAUGUUGGUCAGAAAUACUUUUGUAAUGGCCGCUGCUAGCUACUGCUACAGUCGCCAAUUGCUAGCUGCUACUAGUGCGUGUGCACUGCACUGAAUUCUUACGAUCUACAAAAACUUGCUGCUGUUAUUUGUGCUAAAAAGACAGGAAGUUCAAUAUGCAAACCUUACAAAGUUCUGGUUAAAAUACAAAAGAGAAAGUUCACUAUGCUAAACAUAAAAAGGGCAUGAAUUCCACUUUGAGAAACCAGGGAUUGUUCUCUGUUGUAACCUCCGUGAGUUCAAGAUUAAAAAUGUAUUGUAUUGGGAAUUUGAUUUUGUAUCGCUCCAAUUUAUUGAUAACUAGCACUAGCAUAUGGAAUCUCUUGAAAAACAUUUUCUAAUGCAGGAAAAAAAAUGGUCACAUUAUUUUACUCGGCACUGAUGUGCAUGUUGCCUCCGUCAUUGCAUCCUCCAGCUCAAUCCCAUCGUUGCAGUCCAACGACUCCAGUUGCAACCGUUCGCCACUAUUGUGCGAGGUAAGAUGGAUCUCAACAUCUGGCUCCCGGUAGGCCACUGCCUUGUGAAAAGGCCACCGGCCUUGCAUCCUCCCGCACGAUGUGCGCCACCACCGGGACCCGGCCUGCAAAGCACGAUGCUGGCUGUUCACAGCCGUCGGGCCACCACUCCCUGGAUCGGGGCUGCUGUGCUCGCGAAAUGUGUGUGUGCUAAUUGACGCUGAUUGAAGCUCAUCUCCUCCCUCGCGUAUGCAUCAGCAAAAACUGUGUGGGUUCGCUGUAGUCCAAGUUGUGCCACAGCAGUAGGGCAACUCUUCCAGGACGCAUCUCAUCUCAACUAGCUCCAAUUUUGCGCGCAUGGGGUGGUGCUGCUCCAGCAAGCUCCUUCGUCCCCGGCCCGUCCCUGAAUGCGGAUGCAGCACCGCAGGUUCCCUACCCAUCAUGCCUCAUCUCUGCUUCUUUACUCUCCACUUCUCUAGUUUUUGGUGUGUGCAUGCAAAAUGUUGGCUUAAAUGUCCUAGUGCACCAGUACUAGUUUUGUGUGUUUGUUUUCCCUUCUAGCUUAGUCCUUGCCUACUAAUUGAUAUGGCUUGGAUUACUUAAGAGUGUUUUUCAUGUGUGUUCUGCACUUCAGGUUCAAGUUCACCAUGCAUCCCUGACGUAGCACUGCUCCGGCUCCUCCCCCGCUUGUUGCCAGGUCUGUCUCUCCUUCCUCCCCUGCUCGCUGUCUUUUGCGGAGGUGGACACGGCUACCUGAUGGAGUGAAGUCGGCCUCCCAGCACCGGCAGUUGUAAAAAAAUAAAUAACAACAACAAGUUCAGAAUCAGAAAAAUGAGAAGUUCAAGAAGAACAAAGGUGCUGCCUUCACUCAAGUUCUUGCAAAUUGCUAGGCUGUAGCUCGUAUAUUGUUUGCAACUAUCUUCAGUUUCUUUAGUAGCUCGUACACAUUUUGCUGAAAGCUAGUACUUUCAUAAUCGUAAAGUUGAUAGUUGGCCUACAGGGAUAACCAUGUUGAUCGUGAUUGAAAAAGGAUUAUGAAAUAAUAUUAUUGAGACUGAAGGCCAAGUUUGAUGCACGAUGUCAGAGGAUUAUGAGGCGGUCGAUGUCUUUCAAGAGAUGCGUUCAUAUCUCACAAGUUUCCAAAGGUUCAAGUUCAUCUAUAUAAGAAGGAAUGCCAAUUUUGUUGCACAUGUGUGUGAAAAGAGGCACUAAAACUUAAUGUAGUUGCUAUUUCUUUUCUUGUAACGACUACCUACCUGAUGGAGACUAUUCAAUCAUAGUUAUUUUUGCCUGCCAUGCCCUGAUACCUCCUCCAUAUAGGUGCCACCAUCACAACCCAACCUCCAUUUGCUGGUCGCUGCUAGCUGUUGUUGCUGUGGCCUGCCUUGCCCUCUAGCUAAUAUUGGUGCGCUACUGUUGAAGUUCAACUAGAAUGCUAGAGGGAUUUCUGCGAGAGUUUAGCUAAUAUAGUCCCUAGUUUUGUGUUUGAACUUGCUAUUGUCCAUGGUUAAAGAUUAUGAUGUUGCUUUUCUACGGAUGGUCUUCCUGUAGAUAUAUCAUUUUCCAUCCUCUUGGAAGGUACAACAUUCUGAAUGAUCAGAACAGAAACAAUAUAAUGUUAGUGUGCUGCUACUUAUGUAUGUUUGUACUAAGUUUGCUAAUGUGUUGGUCGUGCAUGUAGCACACGAAGUGUAUGUAUAUAGUUGUGUGUAAUUUUCUUGAAUUUCAAUAGUAUGCGAAGUUCAUGUUUAAGAAAUUUCUAAGUUCAUGUGUACCACAUACUAAAGAAAUUCAUCAAUAAAAAAAGGACCGCCUAGGCCAUUUCACCGACAGCAAAAAAUGCCUAAAACUUUUAAUAAUAGAGUGCUUCAAAAUUUCAUAAAAAGAUUAAGAAAUAAAACUAGGAAGUCCAUAUUAAAAAGAUGGAGAAGUUCGAUGAUUAUACAAAACUUAGAUUUUUCUCGUUAUUAAAGAAUAGAAACAAGAAGUUAAAAAAUUAAACAACAAGAAGUUCAACUUUUAAAAAUAGGGUGCUUCAAAAUUUCAUUAAAAAGUUUAAUAAAAAACCAGGAAGUCUAUAUUAAAAAGAUGGAGAAGUUCGAUGAUUAUAGAAAACUCAGAUUUCCCUAGUUAUUAAAUAAUGGAAACAAGAAGUUCAAAAAUAAAAUAACAAGAAGUUCAACUUUUCAAAAUAGAUCGCUUUAGAACUCAUAAAACGGAUUAAGAAAUUCAGAUUAAUAUUCAUAAAAAAACUCAGAUAUUUUCAUGUAACUGAUAGAAAUUCAGGUUGAUAACUGCCAGAAGUUCACGUACUACACGAUGUGCAUUUUGUAUGAAUUUUUUAAUGAAAAUGCAAAGGCUAAAGGUUUUGUUGUUAGAAGUUCAAGUGCUCUGGCCGAUAAAGUUCAAAAAUUCUUGUGAGAGAGGUUGAACAAAAAUACGUGACAGAAGUUUAAGGUGAAAACAAUGGGAAGUUCAACUACUACACUGAAUAUGUUUUAGAUAAGAAUAGAAAACUAAAAGCUUAAAAGGUUUGUUUCAAAAAAUUCACGUGGUCUGUCCGGGGAAGUUCAAAAAAUUUUGCGAGAUAUGUUCACCUUGUAUUUCCAUGUUCGAAAACAAAAAAAAAAUGUUUUUUGCAUUUUAAAAU
This 13360-nucleotide long non-coding RNA is filed under the name Triticum aestivum (bread wheat). RNAcentral's name for it is "long non-coding RNA (TAES_LNC026012)". The record is from RNAcentral. Lineage: Eukaryota; Viridiplantae; Streptophyta; Magnoliopsida; Poales; Poaceae.